RNAcentral lists this ribosomal RNA (440 nucleotides) under uncultured bacterium. RNAcentral describes it as "partial 16S ribosomal RNA". It matches the Rfam family "Bacterial small subunit ribosomal RNA", at positions 338 to 795 of the family's 1533-position model. The record is from RNAcentral.
CCUACGGGAGGCAGCAGUGGGGAAUAUUGCACAAUGGGGGGAACCCUGAUGCAGCGACGCCGCGUGAGUGAAGAAGUAUCUCGGUACGUAACGCUCUAUCAGCCGGGAAGAAAAUGACGGUACCUGACUCAGAAGCCCCGGCUAACUACGUGCCAGCAUCCGCGGUAAUACGUAGGGGGCAAGCGUUAUCCGGAUUUACUGGGUGAAAAGGGGGCGUAGACGGCACUGCAAGUCCGGAGUGAAAGCCCAAGGCUUAACCAUGGGACUGCUCUGGAAACUGUGGAGCUUGAGUGCGGGAGGGGCAGGCGGAAUUCCUAGUGUAGCGGUGAAAUGCGUAGAGAUUAGGAGGAACACCGGCGGCGAAGGCGGCCUGCUGGACCGUAACUGACGUUGAGGCUCGAAAGCGUGGGGAGCAAACAGGAUUAGAUACCCCUGUAGUC